Molecule: ribosomal RNA, 207 nt
Filed under: uncultured bacterium
Lineage: Bacteria
Description: partial 16S ribosomal RNA
Rfam family: Bacterial small subunit ribosomal RNA
Source: RNAcentral
UGCGUAGGUGGCGGGGUAAGUCGGAUGUGAAAUCUCCGAGCUCAACUCGGAAAUGGCAUUGGAAACUACCUUGCUCGAGGGUUGGAGGGGGGACUGGAAUACUUGGUGUAGCAGUGAAAUGCGUAGAUAUCAAGUGGAACACCAGUGGCGUAAGCGAGUCCCUGGACAACUCCUGACACUGAGGCACGAAAGCUAGGGGAGCAAACA